AAGCGUAAGAAGAGAUCUGAACC
RNAcentral lists this microRNA (23 nucleotides) under Cynara cardunculus (cardoon). RNAcentral's name for it is "cca-miR6108c". Lineage: Eukaryota; Viridiplantae; Streptophyta; Magnoliopsida; Asterales; Asteraceae. The record is from miRBase by way of RNAcentral.